RNAcentral lists this ribosomal RNA (496 nucleotides) under uncultured bacterium. Its description in RNAcentral is "partial 16S ribosomal RNA". It matches the Rfam family "Bacterial small subunit ribosomal RNA", at positions 30 to 523 of the family's 1533-position model. The record is from RNAcentral.
AUUGAACGCUGGCGGAAUGCUUUACACAUGCAAGUCGAACGGUAGAGGGGGCAACCCCUCGAGAGUGGCGAACGGGUGAGUAAUAUAUCGGAACGUGCCCAGUCGUGGGGGAUAACGUAGCGAAAGUUACGCUAAUACCGCAUCCGAUCUAAGGAUGCAAGCGCGGGAUCGCAAGCCCUCGCGCGAUUGGAGCGGCCGAUAUCAGAUUAGGUAGUUGGUGGGGUAAAGGCUCACCAAGCCAACGAUCUGUAGCUUGUCUGAGAGGAUGACCAGCCACACUAGAACUGAGACACGGUCCAGACUCCUACGGGAGGCACCAGUGGGGAAUUUUGGACAAUGGACGCAAGUCUGAUCCAGCCAUUCCGCGUGCAGGAGGAAGGCCCUCGAGUUGUAAACUGCUUUUGUACGGAACGAAAAGGUCUCUCUUAAUACGGGGGGCUCAUGACGGUACCGUAAGAAUAAGCACCGGCUAACUACGUGCCAGCCGCCGCAGUAA